This 2649-nucleotide long non-coding RNA is filed under the name Homo sapiens (human). Its description in RNAcentral is "HSALNT0276483". Lineage: Eukaryota; Metazoa; Chordata; Mammalia; Primates; Hominidae. The record is from RNAcentral.
AACAAAUACAGGUGAUGCAACUAGCUUAAGGUCAGCCUUUCUGAGGUUGAAGUUAACUGUCACACUGUAGAUGAAGAUGUGCAGUGCAAACAUGGUGUUGUGAUUUAUUUCACAGGGGUCUGUCUCAGUGACAGACCCCUCCCCCACCCAACGUCAAAAACCUUUGCCUUGUCUUCAGAAUUUGCUCAACAGGAAAGAAUGAGCUCCAUUGCGCGGACUGGUACAUUGAAGCCUGAGAUGGAAAGCUACUUGCUCAAAGUCCCACAGCAAAUCCGAUGCAAAGCUGGGUAAAAAUAAGUCUCCUUACAUGCGUGUGUGCAUUCCUUCAUUCACGAGUAAGUGUUGACUGGAGACCUACUAUGCGCUGGGCUCUGCUCCAGGUAGUCUCCUCAGUGCCCUGCCUUAGUAGGGCACCCCAGAUAAGCCUGGAUUCCGGAAACUCCGGAGAAAGGAUGUUGUACACCAAUUCUGAGACCUGCUGUGUGCCCCUAGCUAUGUUCAGGGGGCAGGAAAUAGACCAGACAUGGAGGUUCCCGCUUUGAGAGAAAUCCUAAAGGGCCCUUCCUCUUUAGGUGGGAGGUGAGCUAGACAGGUACCCAGAUUCUCUCGUGAGGCUCAGUGGCUGGCAGAAGCUGAGAAGUACUCAGUCAACUCAGACAGGACAAGUCUCAAUCUGGGAGCCUCCUGGCCUGGCAGAGCCAGGUGCUCUCUUCCUACUCAGAUGACUUCCAUAGGCCCUCAGCCCCUGAGAGCCUUUGCUGGGAAGCCAGGGAUGGCCCACAUUGCUGCUGCUGGCUGCUUCUCAGCAGCUGGGUGGAACAAUUCCUGCUGGCUCAGCUGCUGUAGCCGAUGAGAGAGACAGAGGAGGGAAUCAAGCGGGAUACGGCUGCGGUCACAGCGCAGUGAUGGGUAGGUGCACGCCAGCUGAGAGCAGAGUGGUCGGUGCUGGGAGCCCACAACUCCUGGCAGGGCCGGGGCCAGCUUGGAAAAUAAACACCCAGGGAUGGUACUUUAGGGUGGGGCGUCUGUUUGGAGAUAAAGGCACCUCCGCCCCUUGCCCAGGACAAAGGAGCCAUCUGGCCAGGCAGGGGCGGGUGCAGGCUCAGCCCCUCGGUGUCCCAGGCAGCUAGGGGGUGGGGUGCUGUCUGCACAGGCAGGCUGAGCUUAGGACCGAGGCCCCUCUCUGCAGCCUGGUACAGGCAGUGUCCACAUAGCCCAGGACUUCUCCACCUCAGCACUAAUGACACAUAGGGGCAGAUGAUUCUCGGGAGCGGGGCGUGAGGCUGUCCUGUACAUUGUAGGAUGUUGAGCAGCAUCCCCGGCCUCUACCUAUUAGAUGGCGAUAGCAUCCCCCGUCUCAAAUUAUGUAAGGCAAAAAGAUUUUCAAAUGUCCCCUGGGGACAAAAUCAACCCGAGUUAAGAGCCACUGACUGAGACCGGCAGCUCUCUCUCCUCACCCACCAGUUCCCAUGUUCCAUGCUUUUCCUGGGUAAUGAACCCCCGUCAGGGCCCAGGAGCUGACUGCAGCAGCUGCUUCAUGUACAUCUCACUGCAUCCUCCCACCAACGCUGUGAUGUGGAGGUGAAGAAGAUCUCCAUUUUACAGGAGAAGAAACGAAGACCUGGAAAGCACUGAUGACUUCAGGUUGCAGCCAGCCAUCAGGGAGCCAGCAAUAGAUGCAAGGAUUGGAGGACUCUGAGAGACGAGCAUGUACAGGAAGCACCCGGGCUGUGCACACACAGGAAAGACCACGUGAGGACCCAGCGAGAAGGCGGCCAUCCCCAAGCCAAGGAGAAAGGCCUCAAGAACAAACAAAUCUGCCAACACCUUGAUUUUGAACUUCCAGCCUCCUGAACUGUGGAAAAAUAAGUUUCUGCUGUUGAAGCCUCUGAGGCAGUGGUAUUUUCUUAUGGAAGCCCCAGCAGACCCCUAUGUGACUUGGUAGCCCCAUCUGUGACUGGAGAAGGUGAAGUCCACCGGCCCUGGUGCUGGGAGAAUCACACUGGAUGCUGAGACUGGGCCUCACUAAGCUCACAGGAGACAUGGCAGAAUGCCCCCAGGAACAGACUCCACCUCACCACUCUUGAGAUGUUGCAGCUUCAGGAAGUCUGCAGUGCUGAUCAGGGACCUGCAGGAUCUUGUUCACCUAACAGAGAAAUAGGUCUGAAGCAGACUACUAUGAGAAUGAAGUCAGCUAUCUGCCAGGAUGCCUCAGCCACCAUCAAGACUUUUGUGUGCAGAGAAACAGGAUUUAAGAGGGGAGGGACUGAAAGGCUGUGGAAGCCACUGGGUUCAGUCAUCCAUUCAAUCCACAUUUUUUGACCACUCCUUAUGUGCUAGGCCCUGUGCUUACACUCAGGAUUUAAUAGUAAAGAAAUUAUUGGACCCCAUUGGGCUGAUAGUAUUUCAGGGGAGAGAGACGUGAACAUGGUUAUACAUGAGGGUGAUUAGUGUCAAAUUGUGGGAAGCAAAGUGGGUGGGGUGUGUGUGCUGUGGAAGCCCAGGGAAACCACCUGAUUCAGUCAGGGGCAAUCAGGGAAGGAUACCUGGAAGAGGUGACACCUAAGCCAAGACUUGAUGAGCAUAUACGAAUAUUUUUGGCAAACAGUGAUGGUGAAGUGAGGGGAAAAAUGCUUCUAGAGAGAACAG